This 491-nucleotide ribosomal RNA is filed under the name uncultured bacterium. RNAcentral describes it as "bacterial SSU rRNA". It matches the Rfam family "Bacterial small subunit ribosomal RNA", at positions 29 to 509 of the family's 1533-position model. The record is from RNAcentral.
AGUGAACGCUGGCGGCAGGCCUAAUACAUGCAAGUCGAACGGCAGCACAGCAGAGCUUGCUCUGUGGGUGGCGAGUGGCGGACGGGUGAGGAAUACACGGGAAUCUGCCCAGUCGUGGGGGAUAACGUAUGGAAACGUACGCUAAUACCGCAUGCGCCCUACGGGGGAAAGUCGGGGACCGCAAGGCCUGACGCGAUUGGAUGAGCCCAUGUUCGAUUAGCUAGUUGGCGGGGUAAAGGCCCACCAAGGCGACGAUCGAUAGCUGGUCUGAGAGGAUGAUCAGCCACACUGGAACUGAGACACGGUCCAGACUCCUACGGGAGGCAGCAGUAGGGAAUAUUGGACAAUGGGGGCAACCCUGAUCCAGCCAUGCCGCGUGAGUGAAGAAGGCCCUCGGGUUGUAAAGCUCUUUUGUCCGGAAAGAAAGCAUCUGGUUAAUACCCGGGUGUUCUGACGGUACCGGAAGAAUAAGCACCGGCUAACUUCGUGCC